UUAUCUUUCCAUGUUUCAAUUUUGUAUACAAUACUCUCAGCUUAUCAAUGAUAUGUCAUUCUUACCGUUUCCCACCUGUUGAAAUAUCCCUCCAAAAUUUUGUAUAGCAGAAUAUGGGGACACCUAAAAAGGGAAAAAAAAAGGUCGGAUCAAGUCGUAGUUCUACUUGUUAAGUUGAGAACAACAAAACUUCCUCUCUUUCCUUGGUCUCCUAAGGCUGACUAGGAGAAUGGCUUGUAGAAGCCAGUCUAGUAGCCAAGAAGAUAUUUUAAUGGUUUGUAUGGCACGUCUGUGCGUGUGGCUUUGAACUCUAGCAGCCGGAGGUUCCUGCAGAGAGCGCCGCAAAUCCCACUUGAUAACUUCGACAACCCACAACGUUUUACACACAGGUUAUGCAUUGCUGGUCUGCUAAAAAAAAAAAAAAAAAAAAUUUGAGUGAGUCGCGCAAGCUCAGCCAAACCGUGAUGGAUACAUUAGGUAUAGUUGUAGAUCCAAGUUAAAUACUGGCCUAUAUAUUCAAGGUAACCUUUGUGAACGCGGGGUGCUGGUGAGCAUGAUGUGGAAAUCUAAAGCACAGAUGUUCCACUGGUGUGCGCUUCAGUGGACGCCGAAACACAGUGUUGAAGUGAAACAGAGCUACAAAACUCGGACUGCGCACAAGAGGAAGAAAACAAAACGUUGUAUGGACUCAUUUGAAGUGAAACAGAUAAAGUGAUAAUCCCCUGCCUUUCGAGAGAGUGAUGACCCCAAAUGAACUUCAAAUAGCGGUUCCCCUAAGUUUUCCGAAUGAAACACAUAUAACCGUGUCUCUCUAUACCUGUACCUGGCACACGUGAUGACGGGUCCAGGUUAGAACUCUGUCAGGUUUCAUGAUCUCCUGAAUGCUGUCCCACGUGCAAUAAAUAAGAGAAGUGUCAGAUAAUAAUCAUUGAAAGCAGACAAACAGAUUGACGCAUCUGUCAGCCUGAGCGCUUAACUGUACAAAACGUUACCAAUUACACAAACAAAAAAAGGGCGUGCUUGGUAAUCUGAUGGCCAUGGCAACAAAGG
Astatotilapia calliptera (eastern happy) is the source of this 1050-nucleotide long non-coding RNA. The record is from Ensembl. NCBI's taxonomy places the organism in Eukaryota, Metazoa, Chordata, Actinopteri, Cichliformes, Cichlidae.